UAGGGAAUCUUCGGCAAUGGACGAAAAUCUGACCGAGCAACGCCGCGUGAGUGAAGAAGGUUUUCGGAUCGUAAAACUCUGUUGUUAGAGAAGAACAAGGGUGAGAGUAACUGUUCACCCCUUGACGGUAUCUAACCAGAAAGCCACGGCUAACUACGUGCCAG
RNAcentral lists this ribosomal RNA (164 nucleotides) under uncultured bacterium. RNAcentral describes it as "partial 16S rRNA". It matches the Rfam family "Bacterial small subunit ribosomal RNA", at positions 355 to 511 of the family's 1533-position model. The record is from RNAcentral.